Molecule: ribosomal RNA, 467 nt
Filed under: uncultured bacterium
Lineage: Bacteria
Description: partial 16S ribosomal RNA
Rfam family: Bacterial small subunit ribosomal RNA
Source: RNAcentral
ACGCACGCUGGCGGCGUGCUUAACACAUGCAAGUCGAACGGAAAGGCCCUGCUUUUGUGGGGUGCUCGAGUGGCGAACGGGUGAGUAACACGUGAGUAACCUGCCCUUGACUUUGGGAUAACUUCAGGAAACUGGGGCUAAUACCGGAUAGGAGCUCCUGCUGCAUGGUGGGGGUUGGAAAGUUUCGGCGGUUGGGGAUGGACUCGCGGCUUAUCGGCUUGUUGGUGGGGUAGUGGCUUACCAAGGCUUUGACGGGUAGCCGGCCUGAGAGGGUGACCGGCCACAUUGGGACUGAGAUACGGCCCAGACUCCUACGGGAGGCAGCAGUGGGGAAUAUUGCACAAUGGGCGGAAGCCUGAUGCAGCAACGCCGCGUGCGGGAUGACGGCCUUCGGGUUGUAAACCGCUUUCGCCUGUGACGAGGCGUGAGUGACGGUAAUGGGUAAAGAAGCACCGGCUAACUACGUG